This 820-nucleotide ribosomal RNA is filed under the name uncultured Anaerovibrio sp. RNAcentral describes it as "bacterial SSU rRNA". It matches the Rfam family "Bacterial small subunit ribosomal RNA", at positions 43 to 844 of the family's 1533-position model. The record is from RNAcentral. Lineage: Bacteria; Bacillati; Bacillota; Negativicutes; Selenomonadales; Selenomonadaceae.
CAUGCCGCUCUUACCAUGCAGUCGAACGGAGAUUCAGCAAUGGAUCUUAGUGGCGAACGGGUGAGUAACGCGUAGGCAAUCUGCCUUCUAGAUGGGGACAACAUCCCGAAAGGGGUGCUAAUACCGAAUGUUGUACCGUUUCCGCAUGGAGAUGAUACUAAAGGUGGCCUCUGAAUAUGCUACCGCUAGAAGAUGAGCCUGCGUCUGAUUAGCUAGUUGGAGGGGUAACGGCCCACCAAGGCUUCGAUCAGUAGCCGGUCUGAGAGGAUGAACGGCCACACUGGGACUGAGACACGGCCCAGACUCCUACGGGAGGCAGCAGUGGGGAAUCUUCCGCAAUGGACGAAAGUCUGACGGAGCAACGCCGCGUGAGUGAAGAAGGUUUUCGGAUCGUAAAGCUCUUUCGUUAGGGACGAACGUGCUCUUUGUGAAUAAUGAGGAGUAAUGACGGUACCUAAAUAAGAAGCCACGGCUAACUACGUGCCAGCAGCCGCGGUAAUACGUAGGUGGCAAGCGUUGUCCGGAAUUAUUGGGCGUAAAGCGCGCGCAGGCGGGAUAUCAAGUCUGUCUUAAAAGUGCGAGGCUCAACCUCGUGAGGGGACGGAAACUGGUAUUCUUGAGUGUCGGAGAGGAAAGUGGAAUUCCAAGUGUAGCGGUGAAAUGCGUAGAGAUUUGGAAGAACACCAGUGGCGAAGGCGACUUUCUGGACGAUGUCUGACGCUGAGGCGCGAAAGCUAGGGGAGCGAACGGGAUUAGAUACCCCGGUAGUCCUAGCCGUAAACGAUGGGUACUAGGUGUAGGGGGUAUCGACCCCUCCUGU